Molecule: long non-coding RNA, 788 nt
Filed under: Homo sapiens (human)
Lineage: Eukaryota; Metazoa; Chordata; Mammalia; Primates; Hominidae
Description: HSALNT0024747
Source: RNAcentral
GGUCAGUGUGUUUUUUAUUUGCAUUAGAAAAAUUUUAAGAGGAGAGAUGCUCUUUCAAAAAUACUUCAAAAGAAGAUCAAGAGAUUAGAGUAGGGGAUAAAUAUAGACAUAGAUGUAAGAAGUGCUGCAGUAGACAGGAGACAUUUUGUUCUUAGUUCCUUUACUUAUGUUUAUAUUUCGUUUAUUUAUUCAGAUGUUCAACAAAUAAGAAUUGACUGUGUGUGUAUUUGUUCAAAGUAAUGGUGGAACACAAACCAAGAACUAGACUUAGUGGGUUCAAAAACACAUACUACUUUUGUGCCCCAAGGCUCAAACUAAGGCUCAAUUUCUCUGCCUCAGUUUCCUCAUCUAUAAAACACAGAGUAAUAAGAGUACCUAAGUGUGGGGUUGUAGGGAGGAUCAAAUAAAUUUAGUAAGCAGUUAGAAUGCUCAGCACAUAGAGAGCAAGCAGUGUUUGCUAAAUAAGUAAUAUAAACAUGCCAGCCUCUGUGCUAGCUUUUAGGAUGAACAAAAUAAAUGGAAGAGUGCAUUACACUAGAAAAAGCUUCAAAAAGCAUGGAUGGACCUAACUGAAGUGCUGCAAAUGAAAUGAAUGAGGGGCAUAGUUGGAGAUGAAGGGUGUGUAACUGGGAGGCCCUAUCUUAGAUAAUGUGGGGAAGAGAUGCCUCUAAUGAGGCGGCAUUUAACCUGAACACUAAAGAAUAAAUAAGUGAUGGAGGAACAUCACGGCUGAGAGAUGUUGUUUCUUGAUAAAUCAGGUUGUUUUACCGUUUACGAUGAUGAGUCAA